GAUGAACGCUGGCGGCGUGCCUAAUACAUGCAAGUCGAGCGAACGGACGAGAAGCUUGCUUCUCUGAUGUUAGCGGCGGACGGGUGAGUAACACGUGGAUAACCUACCUAUAAGACUGGGAUAACUUCGGGAAACCGGAGCUAAUACCGGAUGAUAUUUUGAACCGCAUGGUUCAAAAGUGAAAGACGGUCUUGCUGUCACUUAUAGAUGGAUCCGCGCUGCAUUAGCUAGUUGGUAAGGUAACGGCUUACCAAGGCAACGAUGCAUAGCCGACCUGAGAGGGUGAUCGGCCACACUGGAACUGAGACACGGUCCAGACUCCUACGGGAGGCAGCAGUAGGGAAUCUUCCGCAAUGGGCGAAAGCCUGACGGAGCAACGCCGCGUGAGUGAUGAAGGUCUUCGGAUCGUAAAACUCUGUUAUUAGGGAAGAACAUAUGUGUAAGUAACUGUGCACAUCUUGACGGCACCUAAUCAGAAAGCCACGGCUAACUACGCG
This 497-nucleotide ribosomal RNA is filed under the name uncultured bacterium. RNAcentral's name for it is "partial 16S ribosomal RNA". It matches the Rfam family "Bacterial small subunit ribosomal RNA", at positions 28 to 507 of the family's 1533-position model. The record is from RNAcentral.